Non-coding RNA from Podarcis lilfordi (Lilford's wall lizard), 4197 nucleotides. NCBI's taxonomy places the organism in Eukaryota, Metazoa, Chordata, Lepidosauria, Squamata, Lacertidae. The record is from the annotation of a GenBank genome assembly.
GGCAUCUGAUCAGCCACAGUGAAAACAGAUGGGCCAUUGGCCUGAUCCAGCAGGCCCUUCCUAUGUUCUUGUCAACAUUAAGAUGAAAUCUUUAAAAGGUUGGUGUUUACUACUCUGGAUGCUUUAUAAUAAACCUUAUAAAGCCUAUUCUCAACCCUUUGUAAUGACUCUUCCUGAGCUGAGAUGCCCUGUAAUCAAGGCCAAGUUUGCCUUUGGGUGUGUGAAAAUGCAAGCAAUGUAGAGAGGUGUAUGUUUUCCAGAGAUGUGCAUUCUGCAGAUUUUCACACUUCUGACUGUGCAUUUCCUUUCUCUGAAUAUUGUGGUCUCUUGUUAGGCUUCCCACAUUUGCAUUUGUAGGUAUCUGUAGAUGUAUGCAGCCAACCAUGGCUUCACAGAGUAAUAUGAUAAGGGCCCAAAGAUGCAAAUCCCCAGUUUUCAAUUGAGGCAUGCCUAAGCUUCAGCAAAAAUUUUAGCACCAUUCCUAUGAUUAAUUCUCUCUCCCACCAUUUCCUGUGGCAUAGCAGAGGAAACAGUCACUGCAGCCACUUGUUUGGGCAUCUGGCUUGGCUUCUUUGUAGGAGCUAAAAGGUGUAGGAGAAGCAAUAUUUAUUCCUCCUGCCCAUGCCAUUUCCUUGAAACAAUCUGUGCCCAGUGACCUUAAAAACUCAUGCUUGGGUGACUAACUAGAAAUACCUAAUGCAAGGCAGGGGCUGUUCUGGGCAGAUUUGCACAAAUACUAUGUUUGUACCACAUUUGUGAUGGUGCACACUACACAAACAGGGCUCCUCCAGUCCAGAUGACCAUUCAUUCUGAUUCGCUUACACAGUGAUUAGACUAUGUCCAGUCUUUAUUGAGCAUUCAUUCUGAUUUUGUAGGUGGUAGUUACAGGACAAUGAAUAUUCAUCCUAGUUUGCUUGCAGGUGUUUACACGUGUUCCCACUGAUUAUUUGUUUCCCCCACACUUUUCAGUAUUUGCACAUUAUUUUCCUAAUAGCAAAAGUCAUUAAAAGUCAUCAUCUGAGGCCCUCCUUCAUGUGCUUCCUCUGAGAGAGAUCUAGAGGACGGCAAUAAGAGAACGGGCCUUUUCUGCAGUGGCACCCUGUUUGUGGAAUGCUCUCCCCAGGGAGGUUCACCUUUAGGCACCAUGCAAAAACAUUCCGCUCCUCCCAGGUCUUUGGCUAAUUAAACAAUCUAUGACCUUUUACACUAUGGGGGACGUUAUUUUUGUUUGUUAUUAUGGUAUGUAUUUUGUGUGUUUUUUAUAGUAACAAAUCUUUGGAUGAAAGGCAGCAUAGAAAUUUAAUAAAUAAUAAUAAGAAUAUUAAGAAAUGGAUUUGUUGCAUUAGGAAUGCAGAGCAUUGAAUCCAGUUUAAUUGUACAAGCUUAAAUUUCCAGUAUGCACUUGAAUCUAAUAAUAAUAAUGAGAGUCAUAUGUAAAACAUUUAUUUCUGCUCUCCACUGUUUCCCAGCUACAAACAGGGACACACUUCUGUGCUUUACCUAACACAUAAUAUUUUCCCCUAUCCCCCUUCAGCCCCAUCAAGGCACUUUAUUUUUAGGGCUACAGUGCUUAGUAUAUUACUGUAAUUUGUUAGACUAAAAGCAUCUUUCCUCAAUUAAUCAAGUAGAAAUUGCCCUGAUUCAGCGCGCGUGCAUAUGUGUCUGUGUUAUGAAAACCUAAUAAACUACCACAGAAAUUCCAGAGGAUUACCAACAAUCCAGAAUUAAAUACAUUAUGAAUCAAGGUUUUCAAAUCACCACACACACACACACAAACACACACACACACACACACACACACACACACCCAGAGAGAGAGAGAGAGAGAGAGAGAGAGAGAGAGAGGGUUUUAGCCAACUAAAUGUUACUCAGAGUAGAUCCACUGAAAUUAGUGGAACUAAAUUACUCGUGUUCAUUAAUUUCAAUGGGUAAAUUCUGAGGAGGACUAACAUUGGAUAUAAGCUAGCUAGCUAGGAAAACUGAAGAUAAUAAGCAUCAUUUUCUCUUUUGUCUUAUAUAGGAAGGAAUGUGCCUUUUGAGAUUAUGCCUGCUAUAACUCACACAUGCAUCAUUUUAAAACAAAGAAUGCAUGUUUUUGGCAUCAUACAUAUAUUUGUUUCCUUAUGCGAGUUUAAUUGACUACAGCUCAUACAGUCAAAUGAUUAAAUGUCUUUAAUGUUCUCUACCUGUUGUAUUUACAGUAUAUUUUGCUGCCAUUGUGCUGUCCUUACCUGUGUACUCCACUUUCAGUGGAGAGGCAUCACCAGCUUCUGGGGGAUCUCAUUCUACCUAGCUGCUGCCAGGAGGGUCACUGCUGCUGAGUUGGAAAGGGAACUGGAGGUGCAAAUGAGUGCUGGAAGAUAAAGCGGGGGGACACACAGAUGAUCCUGGGAGGUUUUCCAAGCACAAAAACAAGAAACUUAGUUGAUUUCAACAAGAGAGGAGGGGUUUGAAGGUGAGUAGCUUUCCUUGGAUUUUCAGUUGUGUGUGGUUUUUUGGAAGCCAAUCAAAAGAUGUUCUGUAAGACUCUCUCUCUCUCUCUCUCUCUCUCUCUAUAUAUAUAUAUAUAAUAGAAAUAGGUGAAGGCAAGACAUUUGCACAUUCCAGAGGUCCAAGGUUUCUGAACAGCAGGUGUGGUGAGCCACUCCCUUGUUCAUGACAAUGAAGAGAUUGUGGUGGGUAGUGUUCUCCCAUUGGAUUUUGUCCUCUGAUGUCAAGUCUCUGCAUAAAUGCUAUGCUUGUUUACAAGCAAAACAAAAUGGAAACUGUAUGAGCCAAGGUAGCAGGGCAAUACCUGGCAACACCUGUUUACAGACAGACCUUAAAAUUUCAUGGAAAUGUUGCCCUUUAAGAUUGGCUCUUCCAACGCACAUUUGAGAGUGUCUUGAUAGUUUUGCUUUCAUAUGGCAUCACUUGCAACUUUAGAGCAUCACAGAAAAAGCUAGCAAGUGAAGAGAAAACAAGGCACUUGGGUCUGUCAUUCCCCCCUCCCUAUUUUUUUGUAACAUUGGCAAGAAUGAUGGAACAAUCUGGUCCACCACAUGGUUCAGGAGAAGAUUUUCUCUCUCUUGUUCAAAGGCAGUGUUCACAUUUGUAAAUCUGGGUACAAGCUCCAGGCUGUUGUAGUGUUGUUUAUCUGAAAAUGUUGGGAAGAACUACAUGUUUUAUUCAACUAACCAUAAUAAUACACUGUAACACAGCUAUGUGAUUCUAAAAGAGAAUUGCAGUUCAUGGGUGCUGAUAUAUCUGCCUUCAUGUAGUCAUAUCACAAAUGACAAUAUGAGUUGUUUUAGCAAAAUAUAUAUGGUGACUACUUCUGAAGUUUAGAAAUUUGGACUGAAUGUUGUUUGUUUGUUUUUAAAGGGAAUUUGCAGCAGCAUUUGGCAGAUCGCAAGAAAACUCAACCUAGAACUCAAAACAAUCAUGGGUGUAGGUCAUGGGACUUUGGGACACAAGUAUCACAGGUGAAGAUAACCAGCAAGCAAAGUAAACCAUGAGCAGCAAGCCCAAAAUAAACCUUGGUUUCUGCUCAUUGUUUGGUGAGAAACAAACCAUAAGCACUGGUUCAGAUAUAAUGGUAAGCAAGCCUAUGAGUUGCUUGUCCUACCUUUUUCUCCAAGGAGCUCAAGGGGGUAUACAUGGUUCUCCUUCUCCUCAUUUAAGCUUCACAACAACCCUGUUAGGCUGAGAGGCAGUGACUGGCACAAGCUCAGCUUUAUGGCUGAGUAGGGAUUUUAACCCUGGUCUCCCAAGUCAUAGUCUAGCAUUCUAACCACUACACCACACUAGCUUUCACUGUGUCAGAAUCUGGGGAGAAGCAUAGGAGCCAGCAUUGGCCCCCACAAUAAAAUAUUUGAGGCUGGGCCCCCACACAGUUGAUGGGCAUUCCCAUUCAAAUGGUGUGUGUGCACUGUGCCAUGUGAUCAGUUAUGCUGGGCGGGGCUUAUCUGGGCCCCCACAAUAUUUUAUUCAAGUUGGCACCCCUGGGAGGAAGUGAACCUGGCACUAGUCAUAAGCAGCGCACACACCCCCCCCCCACUGCUCAUUCUCUAAAUAUUUCCCAGCCUUAUGUUACAGGGAAGACCUCAAAAGCAGUUAAUCCUAAAGCAACAACAUUUCCCCAUAUUUUCCAUGAUGAAUUACUGUCCAUUGGCGCAUAUAUUGGUCUGUAUUCAAGUAACUAAUCUCUCUUGUGGC